This 502-nucleotide ribosomal RNA is filed under the name uncultured bacterium. RNAcentral describes it as "partial 16S ribosomal RNA". It matches the Rfam family "Bacterial small subunit ribosomal RNA", at positions 30 to 523 of the family's 1533-position model. The record is from RNAcentral.
AUUGAACGCUGGCGGAAUGCUUUACACAUGCAAGUCGAACGGCAGCACGGGUGCUUGCACCUGGUGGCGAGUGGCGAACGGGUGAGUAAUACAUCGGAACGUGCCCAGUAAUGGGGGAUAACACAGCGAAAGCUGUGCUAAUACCGCAUACGCCCUGAGGGGGAAAGCGGGGGAUCGAAAGACCUCGCGUUAUUGGAGCGGCCGAUGCCUGAUUAGCUAGUUGGUAGGGUAAAGGCCUACCAAGGCGACGAUCAGUAGCUGGUCUGAGAGGAUGACCAGCCGCACUGGAACUGAGACACGGUCCAGACUCCUACGGGAGGCAGCAGUGGGGAAUUUUGGACAAUGGGGCAAACCCUGAUCCAGCCAUUCCGCGUGAGUGAAGAAGGCCUUCGGGUUGUAAAGCUCUUUCGGCAGGGAGGAAACGCUCUGGGUUAAUAACCUGGGGUAAUGACGGUACCUGAAGAAGAAGCACCGGCUAACUACGUGCCAGCCGCCGCCGUAA